Myotis lucifugus (little brown bat) is the source of this 106-nucleotide small nuclear RNA. The record is from Ensembl. Lineage: Eukaryota; Metazoa; Chordata; Mammalia; Chiroptera; Vespertilionidae.
GGGAUCACUUCGGCAGCCCCGACGCUGAAACGGAACGAUGCAGAGAAGGUUAGCACGGCCCCUGCACACGCAUGACACGCGAAUUCAUGAAGCGUUCCCCUUUUUU